RNAcentral lists this microRNA precursor (61 nucleotides) under Melibe leonina. RNAcentral describes it as "microRNA mle-mir-263b precursor". Its record names the gene mle-mir-263b. Lineage: Eukaryota; Metazoa; Mollusca; Gastropoda; Nudibranchia; Dendronotidae. The record is from miRBase by way of RNAcentral.
CUUGGCACCGAAGAAUUCACUGAGUAGUUCUCUAGCAUCAGUGGACUCGCGGUUCCAAACC